This 324-nucleotide unclassified non-coding RNA is filed under the name Zea mays. RNAcentral's name for it is "misc RNA Zm00001eb048750". Lineage: Eukaryota; Viridiplantae; Streptophyta; Magnoliopsida; Poales; Poaceae. The record is from RNAcentral.
CUGCUCGAGCCCCAAACCACCAUCGACGCAGCCGCCACCGGCCGCCAGCGCCAGCUGUUCAGGGCAGAUCCGGCCCACACGCCACAAACCCAACACCACGAGGAGCACGUCCGCCGGCCAGCUCUAGACCCACCACGCCGUGCGUCUACCGCCGAAACGGUGCAGCCCCGCCACCACCAGCAGAUGCCGCCAAUCCAUCGCCUGGCUGCACCUGUAGGACCAGAUGUUGAACCGCCGAGCACAGCCCCCGACGACGCCGGAGACAAGGAAGACGACGGCGCGGGGGACUGCACCCGCCCCAGUAACCCCGCGGCUGGAACUUGA